This 253-nucleotide ribosomal RNA is filed under the name uncultured bacterium. RNAcentral describes it as "partial 16S ribosomal RNA". It matches the Rfam family "Bacterial small subunit ribosomal RNA", at positions 524 to 776 of the family's 1533-position model. The record is from RNAcentral.
UACAGAGGGUGCGAGCGUUGUCCGGAAUCACUGGGCGUAAAGGGCGCGUAGGCGGCGAGCCAAGUCGGUGGUGAAAGCUCGAUGCUCAACAUCGAGUCGGCCAUCGAAACUGGUUUGCUUGAGCACUGUAGGGGCAGAUGGAAUUCCGGGUGUAGCGGUGGAAUGCGUAGAGAUCCGGAAGAACACCGGUGGCGAAGGCGGUCUGCUGGGCAGUUGCUGACACUGAGGCGCGACAGCGUGGGGAGCAAACAGG